Amphiprion ocellaris (clown anemonefish) is the source of this 2805-nucleotide long non-coding RNA. RefSeq lists it as uncharacterized. The record is from RefSeq and is a predicted model, not a curated record. The transcript has 4 exons. Lineage: Eukaryota; Metazoa; Chordata; Actinopteri; Pomacentridae.
UGACAGUCUGGUCUGGAAUGAUUGACAGGUCCUACGGAGAAGGCAGCAGAGACUCUGCUCUCCUCGUUUGUAUUAAUUCUGAUAUAAUGACUGUUGGUUUAUUUAUCGGUGCAGCAGCAGAACAUUUUCCACAGACAGUUUUCCUGCCCGUUGGCUUGUUUUAACCAGUUUUCUGCCUCCAGCUGAUUCUACCAGCAGACACUGAAAGGACUCUGAUAGUUCGGUGUCUCAUGUUCACUGUGAGGAUCUUCUGAGUGAAGCGACCAGCAGAAAAAAACCUCAUCUGGAUGUGAAGGAGACUAAAUGGACGACAUCCUCAGUGAACCACUUCCUGUUUAGCUUUCACUUACAGAAGAGUGAAAGUAGCAGUUCCUCCUGAAGGUCAGAGAUUGCAGCAUCUGAGGGCCUCUUCAAAAGAAGACGGAGUUGAUGAAGGCGUUCUGGAGCAGGACCAGAAACACCACGACCAAGCAGCCUUGAGAUCUUAGACAGCGUCUCCCUCAGGUCCCUCUCUAUCUCCCCACACAUCCACCAACCACUGGAACACAUCUCCAAAGUUCUGCUGGACCAGCUCAGCUUCCCCUCAGAAGAAGUGCUGCCACCUGCCAGAUGAAGGAGCCUUUUGAGAGGCAGCUGGCAUCGUGAUUGGACUGUACUUUGGUCUGUUCCAAUCCAGCUUCAGCUCCAGAGACGGCAGGCGGGACGAGUCAACGGAGGCCUGGUGGAUGAAGGCAUGCAGCUGAGUACAAUCCAGAAAGAGACAUACAUUGUAGAAUUGUAGUAAUUGUGGGCUGACUGAUUUACUGAUUAUCAGUAUUUUAUUUUUUACCGAUUUACGAUAAUAAAUAAAUUUAAAAAUGGCGCUACUUUGGCUCUGAACCUUUAUCUACCUGUGGUCGCUCUGUCUUCUGGAGUGAUUUGAUUGGUUAUACGUCACGAAUAAAACUCCUUUAACUUAACAUCUGUAAACAAAACAAAAACGUAUCAACAAAGUUUUCUGUUAGAGUUUGUGUUCUUCUAAGUUUAACUCCAAGAUUUUAAAUACUUUCAUUUACUGCAAAUGAAUAUCUACUCCAAAUGUCUCACUAAUAAUCAUUAUCAGCAUUAAAAACCCACAAAACACCCCUUUAUACUUGACCACACUUAGUACAGUCCGGUUCCCUCUUCUAUAAAUCUGCUUGGAAUCUUCCACUUCCUGUUUGUCAAAGUGGCCUUCUACCUGGACAGGUUUUGUUGGAGCUCAUGCAACAAACAUUUUGGGUAACUGCACUUUAAUAUGGAUGGAUGACACUGAAUUAGACUCUGUUUUAAUGAGACUGAGUUCAGAUGUGUAGCUCUGUCGUUAAAUAGGAAAUUAUUUCCCAGAAUUCACAGAGAAAAGUCUGAAAUAUUUGCUAGGUUAGCGUCCCACAUGUUCUUUGACUCAGCUAAAGCUAACUCUCUCCAACUUCUGGAUCUCUUGAGUUGCUUGUUGUUAAAAUAUCUUGCUAGAGGUGCUGAAGCUCAGAAAGUCUGAGAUGUUUGUUCAGAAUAAGCUCAUUCUCAAGUCUGAUCUGAACUGUCCUCUUUUGUUUGAACUUUCCCUAAACUUAGGAGUUAAUGACAGAGCAGCACAUCCAGACUCAGUCUCAUUUAUGUAGAGAUUAAACUUCAGUGUCAUUCAUUGAUGUUAAAGUGCAGUUUUUCAAACGUUUGUUGCACAUGCUCCCGACCAAACCAGUCCAGGUGGAAGAUGAUGUGAAGAGAAAGCUCCAGAGGAUGAAUAUCACACAUUUACGUUGGAAGUAAAUGUCCUUUAAUUAGACAUUGUCAUGCAAAAGUUGGAUUUCCCUUUAAUGGUGUUCAAAUCUUUGUUGAGUGUUUUAUUGAUGUUGGUUUCUAAAUGUUUUCUGACACUCGGCCCCAAAGAUUAAAACCUUUUACUGCUCACAAGCUGCAACAAUUCACACAUUAUCAACUAUCUUUCUGACUAAACUAAGGUAAAAAAUGAAAAACUGCCUGAUUCCUGCAUCAUGAAUGUAAAUGUUUUUGGUUUUUAUGACAGUAAACUGAAUAUAUUUGGGUUUGACAUUUUAUAAACCAAAUCAAGAAAUGAAUUAGUGGAGAAAACAACAGAUUAAUGGACAAAGAAAAUGUGUUUUCUAACAUAUAUGGCUGAAUUACUACAACAUUACAAGAUACAUACAAUUUUAAUUCAAUUUUAUUUAUAUAACGUCAAUUACAGGUCAAAUUGUCUCAAGACGCUUUAUUUUUAUAUUUUUUUUCAUUUAAAAUAUGACAAAAUAAGAAAUGUAAAGCUCUUGACUAAUCCAAUUUAUUAUUUGGUUUUUAAGAGACUAAUUGACAACUAAAAUAAUUUUCUCCACUAAAACUAAUAAACAUGAGGUCAAAUAGAAGGAAGAGUUUUAAAUACUGCAGUCCCACGACGACAAGAAUAAAGUUUGUCAACAAAAACUAAAUCUGCUGGUGGAUUCCAUUAAAGUCCUAAUAAAUUAUAAUAAAGUGUGAUACUAAAGGUUUGUGGUGCUAAAAAUCUCAAAGUAAAGAUAUCGAGUUGAACAUCUGGAUGGAGGGUGAUAAAAGUUGACCUCCCUUCAUUUCUGUGGAGCGACUCCAUGGAUUUUAUGGAUGUUGGUUAAAGACCUGCUCUUCUAGUGGUCUUCCUUCUAGUCGCUGUAAAAAGUCAGUCCAUCUUGGCCUCUUCAUGACAACUUGUUCUGCCUCCGACCUGGUGGAAACUCCAGAAACUCGGGAAAACCUGUGGAGACUCGAAGAACUCCUGGAGACUCGAAGAACUCGUGGAGA